GCUCCCGCGCCGCGCUCCGCUUCCGGUAGGGGCGGAAAGCGGAAGUGUGGGAGGGUCUGCGGGGCGGGCUCAGGAGGUCCGCGGGAGGAUGGAGCAGUGAGCGGGUCUGGGCGGCUGCCGGCAGCGCCAUGGAGACGGUACAGCUGAGGAACCCGCCGCGCCGGCAGCUGAAAAAGUUGGAUGAAGAUAGUUUAACCAAACAACCAGAAGAAGUAUUUGAUGUCUUAGAGAAACUUGGAGAAGGGUCCUAUGGCAGCGUAUACAAAGCUAUUCAUAAAGAGACCGGCCAGAUUGUUGCUAUUAAGCAAGUUCCUGUGGAAUCAGACCUCCAGGAGAUAAUCAAAGAAAUCUCUAUAAUGCAGCAAUGUGACAGCCCUCAUGUAGUCAAAUAUUAUGGCAGUUAUUUUAAGAACACAGACUUAUGGAUCGUUAUGGAGUACUGUGGGGCUGGUUCUGUAUCUGAUAUCAUUCGAUUACGAAAUAAAACGUUAACAGAAGAUGAAAUAGCUACAAUAUUACAGUCAACUCUUAAGGGACUUGAAUACCUUCAUUUUAUGAGAAAAAUACACCGAGAUAUCAAGGCAGGAAAUAUUUUGCUAAAUACAGAAGGACAUGCAAAACUUGCAGAUUUUGGGGUAGCAGGUCAACUUACAGAUACCAUGGCCAAGAGGAAUACAGUGAUAGGAACACCAUUUUGGAUGGCUCCAGAAGUGAUUCAGGAAAUUGGAUACAACUGUGUAGCAGACAUCUGGUCCCUGGGAAUAACUGCCAUAGAAAUGGCUGAAGGAAAGCCCCCUUAUGCUGAUAUCCAUCCAAUGAGGGCAAUCUUCAUGAUUCCUACAAAUCCUCCUCCCACAUUCCGAAAACCAGAGCUAUGGUCAGAUAACUUUACAGAUUUUGUGAAACAGUGUCUUGUAAAGAGCCCUGAGCAGAGGGCCACAGCCACUCAGCUCCUGCAGCACCCAUUUGUCAGGAGUGCCAAAGGAGUGUCAAUACUGCGAGACUUAAUUAAUGAAGCCAUGGAUGUGAAACUGAAACGCCAGGAAUCCCAGCAGCGGGAAGUGGACCAGGACGAUGAAGAAAACUCAGAAGAGGAUGAAAUGGAUUCUGGCACGAUGGUUCGAGCAGUGGGUGAUGAGAUGGGCACUGUCCGAGUAGCCAGCACCAUGACUGAUGGAGCCAAUACUAUGAUUGAGCACGAUGACACGUUGCCAUCACAACUGGGCACCAUGGUGAUCAAUGCAGAGGAUGAGGAAGAGGAAGGAACUAUGAAAAGAAGGGAUGAGACCAUGCAGCCUGCGAAACCAUCCUUUCUUGAAUAUUUUGAACAAAAAGAAAAGGAAACCCAGAUCAACAGCUUUGGCAAGAGUGUACCUGGUCCACUGAAAAAUUCUUCAGAUUGGAAAAUACCACAGGACGGAGACUACGAGUUUCUUAAGAGUUGGACAGUGGAGGACCUUCAGAAGAGGCUCUUGGCCCUGGACCCCAUGAUGGAGCAGGAGAUUGAAGAGAUCCGGCAGAAGUACCAGUCCAAGCGGCAGCCCAUCCUGGAUGCCAUUGAGGCUAAGAAGAGACGGCAACAAAACUUCUGAGCAAGGCCAGGCUGUGAGGGCCCCAGCUCCACCCAGGCUUUGGGUGAAUUCUGGAUGGCUUGCCUCAUGUUUGUUAGCCAGCACUUCUGCUCUGUCGUCUCUCCACAGCACCUUUGUGAACUCAGGAAUGUGCGCCAGUGGGAAGGGCUCUCUUGACAGUCAGUGUGCCAUCUUGAUGUGUGUAUGUACAUUGGUCAGGUAUAUUAUCUCAAAGGAUUUAUAUUGGCGCUUUUAACUCAGAGUUUUAAACCCCAGGAACAGAGACUCCUAGUUGAGUGAUAGCUGGGAAAGUUUUACAUUGUCUGUUUUUCUUCUCCCAAUAGCUUUCAAUUGUUCUUUCUGGAAGACUUUUAAAAAUAUAUAAAUAUGCAUAUAUAUAUAUAAAUUAUAAAUAGAUUCCCCACGCAGUGUGGUGGCAUCUCUGUACAGGUACAGUUUUAAACGGUUUGCCUCUUUUCUGUAAGAUUAUGGUACUGUGGAACAUGAGGGCAGAGGACACCGGGAGGCUGUUAGGGGGUCACUGAAUCCCAGGAGCCAACCUCCCCCUUUGCAGGGCUGCAUUUAAAAAUUAGGUUUGGGACAGUUCUUGUACCGUGGUUUCAGCCUUGUGUGGUCAUCACUGGCUUCUGGAGCUAUUGGUGAUGUCCAAGGGAAAGCUUUGAGAGUUUAUGUUUACUCUUUGAGUCCCAGGAGAAGCCUGGCACCCUCUUUGCAAAUUGGCCUUUGCUCUUUCAAUGCCUUUCAUCCAUCUCCACUCUCUCAACUGCCUAAAGUCACAGCACAGAUACUGCCCAGUGCCUUAAGAGGAGACAUGAUCCACUGAGGGGAUAGGUCUACCAGGAACUCUCAGCAAACACGGGACUGUGUUCAGUCCACAAAGGAAAAGCGUUUUUGAAGCUCUCAUUGUUCAUGUAAAAAUCAUACACGUGGCAUUUUGCUCCACAUUCCUUACACACAGGGGUAGAGGGGAUUGCUUUUGUGACCCACAUUCAAAUAUGUGACUGUUUUCUUUUCUCUUUUACUGCUAAGCAGCCUGGAAAGGAUAAAUGAAAAUUAGACUAAGAUUUGUUCUCCAGGAGGCUCAAUCUGAACACACAGAAUGUCAGAGCUGGAAGGGACUAUAGAGAUCAUCUGGUCUGACCCUCUUGUACGGAUGAUCGGAAAACUGAGGUGUAGAGAGGGGAAUGGCCAAAAUCACAAAGCAAGUUAGCGUUAAGAGCUGAGACUAGAAUUCAGGGUCCUCACUCCCAGGCCACCGAACCAUGCAGCCCCUUCUUUGGGGGAAGAGACCUGUGUCAGUCUUGGUUAAUUGUUCCAGGGAACCUUGCUAACAGAAACUUGCUCUUGCCUUGGCUCUUCAGUAGAUGACCUGGCUGUAAAGAGAUUCCCUGGACGAGCCAGAUCAUUCAGUUUCAGUGAGUCCUUGAGCUCCGCAACAUCUACCAGAUAUAGCAGACAAGCACCCAUGGAGGCAGGUUUCGGGCCUGAAGCAGAUCAGAGGGCUUUGCAAAAGACAGCAUAGAGCCAUCUUCCUGCAACUUUACCUCUUUCCCUCAGAUGGGGAGCCAUGACUGGGUUGCACCUCAGGAUACUGUAAUUUGACUCCAUAAUUGCUUUUGCUCCUGAAACCUGGGAAUCAAUGGAAAGGCAGGGAAUGUGCCUCUUCUGUGGCCAGAUUGUGUUAUUUGCAAUUAAAGCAAGUUUUUAAAAAAUGCAAGAGGCAGUUGUUAGUCUUCAGGGCUUGGCCACUGAAAUAGCUAUGUGACGGAUACAGAAAACAGAGGACAAUUUGAGGAUCUUGCUGGAAUAAUAAAUGACAGCUACCAUUUGUUGAGCACCUAUUAUAUAUCAGGCACUGAGCUGGGUAGGCUCUAAACUUCACAAUAACCCUGUGACUUAACUACUUUAUCUCCAUUUUGUAGUUGAAGAAAUAAGUUCAGAGAGAAAGAUUCCUUCCCAAGGUCAUGCAGCUAGUAAAUGAUAGAAUCAGGAUUCAUAGCAUCACUAUAGGGGUUCAAUAUUUACACAAAAAAGGAAAGUCACAAGCCUGUUUAAAAUGAAGUGACCACCUUUUCUUGCAUAGACUAAAUAACUCGAACUGGCAUUUUUAGGUUGGAAAGACAGCUGAAUUAGUAGUUAAGUCUGAUAGCCAAGUAAGUUUUAAAAACCAAAGCAUCCAGGAUGCACACCCCUGCACCAUUUGCUGUGCGAAUUAAUAGUUCUGUCUCUCUCUCUCUUUCUUUUUUCUUUUUAUUUUUUGAGAUGGAUUUUUGCUCUUGUCGCCCAGGCUGGAGUACAAUGGCACGAUCUUGGCUCACUGCAACCUCCGCCUCCUGGGUUCAAGCGAUUCUUCUGCUGGGAUUACAGCAUAUGCCACCAUGCCCAGAUUAUUUUUUUGUAUUUGUAGUAGAGACGGGGUUUCACCAUGUCAGUCAGGCUGGUCUUGAACUCCUGACCUCAGGUGAUCCACCCGCCUCAGCCUCCCACACUGCUGGGAUUACAGGCAUGAGCCACCGCUCCUGGCCUCUCUUUCUUUUUUAAACAAAGAACUUUGCACUUGGCCAGAGAGGAGGAGAAAGCCCAUUUUCUCCCUUCCUAAGCUAGAUCCAAAUAAAAGAAAGUUCAGUUUUCCCCCAUAACUAUUCUUGGGUCAUGAACUUUGAUCUGGAGUUUGUUUUGUUUCAGGCAUAUGUGCACCCAGCUUGCUGAUCCAACAAAGUCUAUUGCUUACCAGUCUAGCUUGAUGGAGCCUUUUGGCCAGAAGUCAAUUUGUUUUGGAUCAGAGAAAUUUCCUGACAAGGUAUAUUUGUUUUCUAGUGACAGAAAGGCAAAGGAGCAAGUCCUAGUUUUUGUUGUUGUUGUUGUUGUUGAAUACUAAAUUUAAGAUAUAUCAGCUUGCUUUCAAUGAGCCUUGGGCUUCCGUCAUUGCUUGAGCAUUUGGAACUCGAGCUUCCAGAGAAAUUUGACGUCCUCGCUUGUUCUCUGCCUUCAAGAAACAAUGACCUGAUUCUGUCUUUAAAAAAAAAAAUCUCAGAAUUCUUUUUUUGUUUGUUUGUUUUUUUUUUUUUUGAGACGGAGUCUCACUCUGCCGCCCAGGCUGGAGUGCAGUGGCGCCAUCUCGGCUCACUGCAACCUCCGCCUCCCAGGUUCAAGCAAUUCUCCUGCCUCAGCCUCCCAGGUAGCUGCCACUACAGGCGCUGCGCCACCACGCCCGGCUAAUUUUUGUAUUUUUAGUAGAGACAGGGUUUCACCAUAUUAGCCAGGUGGGUCUUGAACUCCUGACCUUGUGAUCCACCCGCCUCGGCCUCCCAAACUUGUCAGGAGGCUGAAGUGGGAGGAUCACCUGAGCCCAGGGAGGUCAAGGCUGCAGUGAGCCAUGGUCUCACCACUGCACUCUAGCCUGGGUGACAGAAUGAGACCCUGUCUCAAAAAAAAAGAAGAAGUAGAUAAUCUGAAUAGCCCUAUAUCUAUAGAAACUUAAUAGUGCUGGGAGAUACAGGUAUUAUUAUCCUCAUUUUACAGAUGUGAAAAUUGAGGCUCAGAGAAGUAAAGUCUAUUAUUCAAGGUCAUGUGGCUAGAAUAUGGCAGAGCCAGGAUUCAGAUCCAGGUCUUCUGAUUCUUAUUCCAGUGUCCUUUCUAGCAUACCAUGUUGCCUCUAAAGAUUGCAGCUCCUUAUUUACUAGAAAAUUGUUCCUGCCCAAUCUACAUCUCCACCUCAUCCCAUCUUUUCUUAAGCACUAUGUUUGUGUUUUUAUCAGUAUUAUAUUCAUUGUCUUUGGAAUACAUGUUCUUGUUUGUGUUUGGAAAAAAAAUCUCUUUUACCAGCUUGCACUCGGACCAACUUGGAAAAAAAAAAAGCUUAAAUGCUGUUGCUAUGUACAGUUUAAAAAUGUGAAGUUUGUAGCUUUAACUUUUUGUAAGAAAAUCUAAUAACACUGGCUUAAGUGCUGACUUGAAAUGCUAUUUUGUAAGGUUUGGAUGUAAGUAAUCAAUUGAGGUCAGCAGUUUGUAUGAGACAUAGCUUCCUCCAUUGCCCCCACUCCUUUUUGCUUUUUUAAGUUUGAGAUGCUUCCUGUGUUUUUAUGUUAGAAUUGUUCUCCUUCUUUUCUUCUUCCUAUACCUCAUCACGUUUGUUUUAAAUAAACUGUCCUUUGGACCACAAACCCUUA
This is an RNA transcript of Pan troglodytes (chimpanzee), 5761 nucleotides long. It is a transcript of the gene named serine/threonine kinase 4, with no coding region annotated. The transcript is spliced from 12 exons. NCBI's taxonomy places the organism in Eukaryota, Metazoa, Chordata, Mammalia, Primates, Hominidae. The record is from RefSeq and is marked provisional.